Non-coding RNA from Dermacentor andersoni, 257 nucleotides. NCBI's taxonomy places the organism in Eukaryota, Metazoa, Arthropoda, Arachnida, Ixodida, Ixodidae. The record is from RefSeq and is a predicted model, not a curated record.
GUCCAUUGCAAACCGUUAAAUUAGGGGCAGCGAGCUUUAUGGUAAAGGAAGAGAACGAAGAAGAACGAGGAACGCACAGGAGCAGCAUCCUGCAACAGAGCAGCAAAUCCGGCGCAUGCAGAUAGCCCGUGAAGAACCUGUACAACGAUGUGUCUUUGCGAUACACCAGGCAAUGUGAUGCUAUUGGGAGUUGUGUGCCUCAUAGGCACUGUGCUUCAUCUUAGUUCGGUAUUCAUCACGGUGACGCUAUUGGGUAA